GACGAACGCUGGCGGCGUGCCUAAUACAUGCAAGUCGAGCGGACUGAUUAAGAGCUUGCUCUUAUGACGUUAGCGGCGGACGGGUGAGUAACACGUGGGCAACCUGCCCUGUAGAUCGGGAUAACACCGAGAAAUCGGUGCUAAUACCGGGUAAUAUCUGAGAUCACAUGAUCUUAGGUUAAAAGAUGGCUCCGGCUAUCACUACAGGAUGGGCCCGCGGCGCAUUAGCUAGUUGGUAAGGUAAUGGCUUACCAAGGCGACGAUGCGUAGCCGACCUGGGAGGGUGAUCGGCCACACUGGGACGGAGACACGGCCCAGACUCCUACGGGAGGCAGCAGUAGGGAAUCUUCCGCAAUGGACGAAAGUCUGACGGAGCAACGCCGCGUGAGUGAUGAAGGGUUUCGGCUCGUAAAGCUCUGUUGUUAGGGAAGAAACAGUACCGAACGAACUAGGUCGGUACCUUGACGGUACCUAACCAGAAAGCCACGGCUAACUACGUG
Molecule: ribosomal RNA, 500 nt
Filed under: uncultured bacterium
Lineage: Bacteria
Description: partial 16S ribosomal RNA
Rfam family: Bacterial small subunit ribosomal RNA
Source: RNAcentral